AUUGAACGCUGGCGGCAGGCCUAACACAUGCAAGUCGAACGGUAGCAGGAAGAAGCUUGCUUCUUUGCUGACGAGUGGCGGACGGGUGAGUAAUGUCUGGGAAACUGCCUGAUGGAGGGGGAUAACUACUGGAAACGGUAGCUAAUACCGCAUAACGUCGCAAGACCAAAGAGGGGGACCUUCGGGCCUCUUGCCAUCGGAUGUGCCCAGAUGGGAUUAGCUAGUAGGUGGGGUAACGUCUCACCUAGGCGACGAUCCCUAGCUGGUCUGAGAGGAUGACCAGCCACACUGGAACUGAGACACGGUCCAGACUCCUACGGGAGGCAGCAGUGGGGAAUAUUGCACAAUGGGCGCAAGCCUGAUGCAGCCAUGCCGCGUGUAUGAAGAAGGCCUUCGGGUUGUAAAGUACUUUCAGCGGGGAGGAAGGGAGUAAAGUUAAUACCUUUGCUCAUUGACGUUACCCGCAGAAGAAGCACCGGCUAACUCCGUG
This 490-nucleotide ribosomal RNA is filed under the name uncultured bacterium. Its description in RNAcentral is "partial 16S ribosomal RNA". It matches the Rfam family "Bacterial small subunit ribosomal RNA", at positions 30 to 507 of the family's 1533-position model. The record is from RNAcentral.